Molecule: long non-coding RNA, 427 nt
Organism: Corylus avellana
Lineage: Eukaryota; Viridiplantae; Streptophyta; Magnoliopsida; Fagales; Betulaceae
Source: RefSeq, a predicted model, not a curated record
GAUGCUCGUGAGCAGAUUUUUCACAGGGUUUCUGCAAGAAAAAAGAAAGAAAGAGAGAGAUGGGUUUUCAAGCUCGGCUGUUCUUCUUCUUCUUCUUCCUCACCUUUGCCAUAAUGUGCUUUGCUCGCGAAACCCCUUUAGAGAGUGAAAAGAAUUUGAAGAAUUUGAUCUCCGAAGACUACGAGGGACCACGGGCUAAUCCUAAGCAUACUCCACCCCAUCCUCCUCCGAAGAGACUCACCCAGAAAGAGUCAGCAAUUCCGUGAUGCUUUUCGUCAAUUAGAGUGAACGUAUGCAUAAAUAAUAACAAAGUUUGUGUUGUAAUCGUAUGAUAUCAGCAAAAAAUUAUUACGUUCACUGAGGCUCUCUCUCUUAAAAUUAUAUUAAAUAAAUAAAAGUUUCAAAUGAUUUGCAUUAUCACUCACUA